GUCGAUGGUAGGUUACGCGCCUACCAUGGUUGUCACGGGUGACGGGGAAUCAGGGUUCGAUUCCGGAGAGGGAGCCUGAGAAACGGCUACCACAUCCAAGGAAGGCAGCAGGCGCGCAAAUUACCCACUCCCGGCACGGGGAGGUAGUGACGAAAAAUAACGAUACGGGACUCAUAUGAGGCUCCGUAAUCGGAAUGAGUACACUUUAAAUCCUUUAACGAGGAUCCACUGGAGGGCAAGUCUGGUGCCAGCAGCCGCGGUAAUUCCAGCUCCAGUAGUCUAUGCCAAAGUUGUUGCGGUUAAAAAGCUCGUAGUUGGAUCUCGGUUCGAGACGGUUGGACCGCCUUUCGGGCGGUUUUCCUGACCGCUGCGAACAGAAUGAACUGGCACGUCCGGCGGUGCUCUUCAUCGAGUGUCGUCGGGUGGCCGGUGCGUUUACUUUGAAAAAAUUAGAGUGCUCAAAGCAGGCGGAGAUGCCAGAAUAAUAGUGCAUGGAAUAAUGAAAUAGGAUCUCGGUUCUAUUUUGUUGGUUCUCGGAACGCGAGAUAAUGAUUAAUAGGAACAGACGGGGGCAUUCGUAUUGCGACGUUAGAGGUGAAAUUCUUGGAUCGUCGCAAGACGGAC
RNAcentral lists this ribosomal RNA (624 nucleotides) under Linguatula serrata. RNAcentral describes it as "SSU rRNA". It matches the Rfam family "Eukaryotic small subunit ribosomal RNA", at positions 321 to 940 of the family's 1831-position model. The record is from RNAcentral. Lineage: Eukaryota; Metazoa; Arthropoda; Ichthyostraca; Porocephalida; Linguatulidae.